This 468-nucleotide long non-coding RNA is filed under the name Carica papaya (papaya). RNAcentral describes it as "long non-coding RNA (CPAP_LNC009236)". The record is from RNAcentral. Lineage: Eukaryota; Viridiplantae; Streptophyta; Magnoliopsida; Brassicales; Caricaceae.
CGGGCUGUCCCUAAAUCUCUUGAAUUUUUUUUAAAAAACUGAAACGCACUACCGAUACCUGCACGUAUUCCAAAAAACCCCCAAAUAAGACCCAGGGUCCCUUUUCAGCCAAUAUCUGAAUUCUGGCACGGCGGCUUCGCCGUGCUCCGGCGAUGGCACUAUCGCCUGCGGCGACGAUCUGUCUCGGGUUGGCCAUUUUCGGUCGAAUUCGGCCAAACCUGCAUUGGUUCCUGCGAUAAGACAACCCUAGGGCCAUCGGUGAGCCAAAAAAUAACGAAAAACUGAUACUUACCGGCGGCGAAGCUCUCGGGUGCGGCGGCUUCUCUGGCGCGAGUCGCGAAUUGAUGUUUUGCUCUGGUCAACCUGUAGAGAAAAGGACGGUGAUCACAAUAAUGUAAAAAUUGCAUCGAACGGGAACCAGAAAGGGCCUCAUCGGAGGCAAAAAUCGAGGGAAGCCGCGGCGGUGCC